CCUGAGAAACCCAAAAGAUCGAAUGGGGAGAUUCAUCGUCAGCGCGGCUGGCUUCCGUGCGGUUCGCGAUGGCCGGGACCUCGGUCUCGCGUCACGCGUCCGCUGCGGCAUGUCCGGCUGCGUCGUCGUGCACUUCUCCCCUAGUAGGACGUCGCGACCCGUUGGGUGUCGGACCGAUGGCCGUUUGGUCGCCUGUCUCGUCGCGUUCACGCGUGCACGUGGCAGACCGAAAUGGUCGAGCGUCCGGCUGCCCGGCGGUAUAGAACGCUUAUGAACGGUAAUGAGCCGCAUUAAGUGCGUUCAGGCUCGUCGGCAGGCUCGUCUCGCCCGGAUUUACGGACCUAGCGCCGUUGCCGGGUGCUUGGCGUGGCCGUUAGUCGACGAUGUCCUCGGACUGGCUCUAAAAUUCGAAAGGAUUACCGGUCGGCGACGCUACUGCUUUGGGUACUUUC
Molecule: ribosomal RNA, 452 nt
Filed under: Emersonella sp. RDB-1999
Lineage: Eukaryota; Metazoa; Arthropoda; Insecta; Hymenoptera; Eulophidae
Description: eukaryotic LSU rRNA
Source: RNAcentral